This 253-nucleotide ribosomal RNA is filed under the name uncultured bacterium. RNAcentral's name for it is "partial 16S ribosomal RNA". It matches the Rfam family "Bacterial small subunit ribosomal RNA", at positions 524 to 776 of the family's 1533-position model. The record is from RNAcentral.
UACGUAGGUGGCAAGCGUUGUCCGGAAUUAUUGGGCGUAAAGAGCUCGUAGGCGGCUUGUCACGUCGGGUGUGAAAGCCCGGGGCUUAACCCCGGGUCUGCAUUCGAUACGGGCAGGCUAGAGUGUGGUAGGGGAGAUCGGAAUUCCUGGUGUAGCGGUGAAAUGCGCAGAUAUCAGGAGGAACACCGGUGGCGAAGGCGGAUCUCUGGGCCAUUACUGACGCUGAGGAGCGAAAGCGUGGGGAGCGAACAGG